CGGGGCGUAGCUCAGCCUGGCAGAGCGCAUGUUUUGGGUACAUGAGGUCAUCGGUUCGAACCCGGUCGCCCCGACCA
Molecule: transfer RNA, 77 nt
Filed under: Opitutales bacterium
Lineage: Bacteria; Pseudomonadati; Verrucomicrobiota; Opitutia; Opitutales
Also listed under: 1 other name
Description: tRNA-Pro
Rfam family: tRNA
About the family: Transfer RNA (tRNA) molecules are approximately 80 nucleotides in length. Their secondary structure includes four short double-helical elements and three loops (D, anti-codon, and T loops). Further hydrogen bonds mediate the characteristic L-shaped molecular structure. tRNAs have two regions of fundamental functional importance: the anti-codon, which is responsible for specific mRNA codon recognition, and the 3' end, to which the tRNAs corresponding amino acid is attached (by aminoacyl-tRNA synthetases). tRNAs cope with the degeneracy of the genetic code in two manners: having more than one tRNA (with a specific anti-codon) for a particular amino acid; and 'wobble' base-pairing, i.e. permitting non-standard base-pairing at the 3rd anti-codon position.
Source: RNAcentral